GAUUUUCGCAAUGCCCGAAAGGGUGACUAUGCGACGCCGCGUGAGCGAUGAAGGUCUUCGGAUUGUAAAGCUCUGUCAUGUGGGAUGAAUAUCACAAGCUUAACAAGCAAGUGAGAUGACAGUACCACAGGAGGAAGCCACGGCUAACUCCGUGCCAGCAGCCGCGGUAAUACGGAGGUGGCAAGCGUUGUUCGGAUUUAUUGGGUGUAAAGGGCAUGUAGGUGUCCUGGUAGGUUCUGGUUGAAAUCCUUCAGCUCAACUGAAGAACGUGUCAGAAAACUGCCAGGAUUGAGUACAGGAGAGGAGAACGGAAUUCCCGGUGUAAGGGUAAAAUCUGUAGAGAUCGGGAAGAACACCAGUGGCGAAAGCGGUUCUCUAGACUGUCACUGACACUGAAAUGCGAAAGCUAGGGGAGCAAACAGGAUUAGAUACCCUGGUAGUCCUAGCCGUAAACGAUGGGCACUAAGUAGAGGGGUUUUAAUC
Molecule: ribosomal RNA, 483 nt
Filed under: uncultured bacterium
Lineage: Bacteria
Description: bacterial SSU rRNA
Rfam family: Bacterial small subunit ribosomal RNA
Source: RNAcentral